This 407-nucleotide ribosomal RNA is filed under the name uncultured bacterium. Its description in RNAcentral is "partial 16S ribosomal RNA". It matches the Rfam family "Bacterial small subunit ribosomal RNA", at positions 30 to 526 of the family's 1533-position model. The record is from RNAcentral.
AUUGAACGCUGGCGGCAGGCCUAACACAUGCAAGUCGAACGGAGUGGCGGACGGGUGAGUAAUGUCUGGGAAACUGCCUGGUAGUGGGGGAUAACGUCUGGCAACGGGCGCUAAUACCGCAUACUAUCAGAUGAGCCUAGGUAGGAUUAGCUAGUUGGUGGGGUAAAGGCAGACCAAGGCGACGAUCCUUAACUGGUUUGAGAGGAGGAUCAGCCACACGGGAACUGAGACACGGUCCAGACGCCUACGGGAGGCAGCAGUGGGGAAUAUUGGACAAUGGGCGAAAGCCUGAUCCAGCCAUGCCGCGUGUGUGAAGAAGGUCUUCGGAUUGGAAAGCACUUGAAGUUGGGAGGCGUUACCAACAGAAUAAGCACCGGCUAACUUCGUGCCAGCAGCCGCGGUAAUUC